AGAGCGAACGCUGGCGGCAGGCCUAAUACAUGCAAGUCGAACGGAUCCUUCGGGAUUAGUGGCGGACGGGUGAGUAACACGUGGGAACGUGCCCUUUGGUUCGGAACAACUCAGGGAAACUUGAGCUAAUACCGAAUGUGCCCUUCGGGGGAAAGAUUUAUCGCCAUUGGAGCGGCCCGCGUCUGAUUAGCUAGUUGGUGAGGUAAAGGCUCACCAAGGCGACGAUCAGUAGCUGGUCUGAGAGGAUGAUCAGCCACACUGGGACUGAGACACGGCCCAGACUCCUACGGGAGGCAGCAGUAGGGAAUCUUGCGCAAUGGGCGAAAGCCUGACGCAGCCAUGCCGCGUGAAUGAUGAAGGUCUUAGGAUUGUAAAAUUCUUUCAGCGGGACGAUAAUGACGGUACCCGCAGAAGAACGCCCGGCUAACUUCGUGCCAGCAGCCGC
Molecule: ribosomal RNA, 445 nt
Filed under: uncultured bacterium
Lineage: Bacteria
Description: SSU rRNA
Rfam family: Bacterial small subunit ribosomal RNA
Source: RNAcentral